RNAcentral lists this transfer RNA (69 nucleotides) under Urocitellus parryii (Arctic ground squirrel). RNAcentral describes it as "Spermophilus parryii (Arctic ground squirrel) tRNA". It matches the Rfam family "tRNA". Rfam says of the family: Transfer RNA (tRNA) molecules are approximately 80 nucleotides in length. The record is from Rfam by way of RNAcentral. Lineage: Eukaryota; Metazoa; Chordata; Mammalia; Rodentia; Sciuridae. RNAcentral also lists the same sequence under 1 other name.
GGGGCUGUGGCUCAGCGGUAGAGCACUUGCCUAGCAUGUGUGAGGCACUGGGUUCAAUCCUCAGCACCA